AGCUCAAGUAGCGUAUAUUAAAGUUGUUGCAGUUAAAAAGCUCGUAGUCGCAUUUCUGGCGAGAGGAUCCGGUCCGACCUUUUGGUGGGUUCUUGGGUCUCUUUCGCCAUCCUUGAGUGGUCCGUUCUGGCAUUAGGUUGUCGGAGCGUCAGCCGCUCAUCGUUUACUGUGAGAAAAUUAGAGUGUUCAAAGCAGGCUUAUGCCGUUGAAUAUAUUAGCAUGGAAUAAUAAGAUAGGACCUCGGUACUAUUUUGUUGGUUUGCGCACCAAGGUAAUGAUGAACAGGGACAGUUGGGGGUAUUUGUAUUUCGUUGUCAGAGGUGAAAUUCUUAGAUUUACGAAAGACAAACUACUGCGAAAGCAUUUACCAAGGAUGUUUUCA
RNAcentral lists this ribosomal RNA (382 nucleotides) under uncultured marine Chaetocerotaceae. RNAcentral describes it as "SSU rRNA". It matches the Rfam family "Eukaryotic small subunit ribosomal RNA", at positions 587 to 972 of the family's 1831-position model. Lineage: Eukaryota; Bacillariophyta; Thalassiosirophyceae; Chaetocerotales; Chaetocerotaceae. The record is from RNAcentral.